This 237-nucleotide long non-coding RNA is filed under the name Lathyrus oleraceus (garden pea). Its description in RNAcentral is "Pisum sativum (pea) long non-coding RNA (PSAT_LNC004354)". Lineage: Eukaryota; Viridiplantae; Streptophyta; Magnoliopsida; Fabales; Fabaceae. The record is from RNAcentral.
UAGUAUUUUUUUAACUAUGUCUGCGUUCACGGGAUGUGGGAAGUCUUUGCCAUCCAUCGUAGCAAGUAUCAUGGCUCCACCAGAGAAUACCUUCUUAACUACAAAUGGCCCUUCGUAUGUGGGAGUCCAUUUGCCUCUGGGGUCACCUUGUGGUAGGAUGAUACGCUUGAUCAUCAAGGCGCCAAGUUGGUACACCUGUCUCUUGACCUUUUUGUUAAAUGCUUGGGUCAUGCGCUU